AAUAAAUACGGAGCGUACAUUUCAGUUUAUAACGCAUUGAAGAUCAGAUAAGGCGAGGAGGCCAGGAAAUCGAAAGAUAUAACUUUGGGAAGAUUGCGGAAGAUGGAGGGUGGUAUUAAGAAGAUGGCAGUGUUGCCAAAUUAUAGAGCCGUAAAAAAAGGUUUAGGAAAUUGUUAAAAAAUACGAGAAAUUCAUGGUUCAGUUGUAGAGUAUUACGCGAUAACCUUAAAGCGAUUGAGAAUACAGCUACGAUUAUAUAA
Neodiprion fabricii is the source of this 260-nucleotide long non-coding RNA. RefSeq lists it as uncharacterized. Lineage: Eukaryota; Metazoa; Arthropoda; Insecta; Hymenoptera; Diprionidae. The record is from RefSeq and is a predicted model, not a curated record. The transcript is spliced from 2 exons.